GCCGGCAGCUAGCUCUCUGCAACUCUCACAUAGUCGCCCACUGAAGCUAAGCAGGGCUGCGCCCGGUCGGUACCUGGAUGGGAGACCACAUGGGAAAGCUAGGAUGCUGCCGGAA
RNAcentral lists this ribosomal RNA (115 nucleotides) under Danio rerio (zebrafish). The record is from RNAcentral. Lineage: Eukaryota; Metazoa; Chordata; Actinopteri; Cypriniformes; Danionidae.